GGAUGCACGCAGCCUGAUCAGCCAUGCCGCGUGUGUGAAGAAGGCCUUCGGGUUGUAAAGCACUUUUGUCCGGGAAGAAGCUGCUUUUAUUAAUACUCUGGGAUAAUGAACGUUCCGCACAAAUAAGGCCCGGCUAACUUCUGGCCCACCGCCCCGGUAAUACCUAAGGGCCAAACGUUAAUCCGAAUUACUGGGCGUAAAGCGGGGGCAAGCGGGUGUUUAAAAUCGAUGUGAAAUCCCCGGACUUAACCUGGGAAUUGCAUUGGUGACUGGGGGGCUUGAGUGUGGCAGAGGGGGGUAGAAUUCCAUGUGUAACAGUGAAAUGCGUAAAGAUGGGAAGGAAUACCGAUGGCGAAGGCGCCCCCCUGGAAUAACACUGACACUCAUGCGCAAAAGCGUGGGAGAAAACAGGAUAAUAUACCCUGGUAGUCCACGCCCUAAACAAUGUCUCCUAUUUGUUGGGGAUUCUUUUCCUUUUUAACGUAGCUAAUGCCUGAAUUUGACCACCUGGGGAGUAGAACCGCCAGAUUACAACUCCUCGAAUUUUUUCGGGGG
RNAcentral lists this ribosomal RNA (555 nucleotides) under uncultured bacterium. RNAcentral describes it as "bacterial SSU rRNA". It matches the Rfam family "Bacterial small subunit ribosomal RNA", at positions 373 to 919 of the family's 1533-position model. The record is from RNAcentral.